RNAcentral lists this ribosomal RNA (628 nucleotides) under Pectobacterium carotovorum. RNAcentral describes it as "bacterial SSU rRNA". It matches the Rfam family "Bacterial small subunit ribosomal RNA", at positions 47 to 671 of the family's 1533-position model. The record is from RNAcentral. Lineage: Bacteria; Pseudomonadati; Pseudomonadota; Gammaproteobacteria; Enterobacterales; Pectobacteriaceae. RNAcentral also lists the same sequence under 1 other name.
CAGCUACACAUGCAGUCGAGCGGUAGCACAGGAGAGCUUGCUCUCGGGUGACGAGCGGCGGACGGGUGAGUAAUGUCUGGGAAACUGCCUGAUGGAGGGGGAUAACUACUGGAAACGGUAGCUAAUACCGCAUAAUGUCGCAAGACCAAAGUGGGGGACCUUCGGGCCUCAUGCCAUCAGAUGUGCCCAGAUGGGAUUAGCUAGUAGGUGGGGUAACGGCUCACCUAGGCGACGAUCCCUAGCUGGUCUGAGAGGAUGACCAGCCACACUGGAACUGAGACACGGUCCAGACUCCUACGGGAGGCAGCAGUGGGGAAUAUUGCACAAUGGGCGCAAGCCUGAUGCAGCCAUGCCGCGUGUGUGAAGAAGGCCUUCGGGUUGUAAAGCACUUUCAGCGGGGAGGAAGGCGGUGAGGUUAAUAACCUCGCCGAUUGACUUUUUCCGCAAAAAAAGCACCCGAGUCCUCUGUGCCUGCAGCCCGCUAAUACGGAGGGAGUAAGCGUUAUUCGGAACUACUGGUGCUAAGCCCCCUCCUUUGUUCUGUCAAUUUCCAUGUAAUCAUACUGUCAUGCCGUGCAACUGCCCUCGAAACUGCCAGGCUUGAGUCUUUUAAUGCGACACAACCUCA